GUCAGAGCAUCUCCAGCUCCACAAAGACCCACUCCUUCAAAUCUCUCCCUAGGAGACAAGCCAUUUGCCAGAGCCACAUAAUGGAGCAUUCAGCCUUUGAAUUUCCACAUCUCUGGAGACUCUUCCAGGGCUAUGAGGGUGACUGCCCGGGAGGCAGGGAGGAAGGCUGGAAGGAGGUUUGGAGCCUUUAUCUGAUUAGAAAGAGGAUUCCGUAGGCCCAGAAAAUCAAGUGUGUCGUGAAGACCCCACCAAUGAGGGGAGAGCCUUACAGGGAUGUCCUCUCACCCCCUUUCCCCGGAGAGGCAGCCAGGUCCUGGGCAAGAGUGGUGCCGUCUCCCGUGUGCCCAUGAGAAGACGCGUGCCGAGGGGGAGCAGAGGAAACAGAGACGCAGGAACACACUGGAGACAACGCCUUAUGACAACUGAGGCAGAGGUUGGAGUGGGGUGUCUAAGAGCCAAGGCACACUACCCGGGAGCUGCAAGAGGCACGGCAAGGUCCCCUCCUCGGAGCCGUCAGAGAGCGCGAGGCCCUGCCCAUGCCUUGAUUCCAGACUUCCAGCCUCCGCAACUAGUCUCUCUCUGUUGCCCAGGCUGGAGUG
This is a long non-coding RNA of Cebus imitator (Panamanian white-faced capuchin), 599 nucleotides long. RefSeq lists it as uncharacterized. The record is from RefSeq and is a predicted model, not a curated record. Lineage: Eukaryota; Metazoa; Chordata; Mammalia; Primates; Cebidae. The transcript is spliced from 3 exons.